CUAGGUACCACUCGUGUAGUCGUGUGUCGUGCCUCCUACCCUGCUGCCGUAAUAUUGCGUCGACUCAACAUUUGUACAAUAUGAACGGCACGCGUGUUGUUCAGAGUUCACGCAACGCUCUAUAUAAUUGCCAUAGAUUAUUGGACGCAAAUUCGUGCUUCCUACUCCCUUCCUUGCAGGUCAUUCUAACUUUUUUUAAGAGUGAAA
This 207-nucleotide long non-coding RNA is filed under the name Setaria italica (foxtail millet). RNAcentral describes it as "long non-coding RNA (SITA_LNC003331)". Lineage: Eukaryota; Viridiplantae; Streptophyta; Magnoliopsida; Poales; Poaceae. The record is from RNAcentral.